RNAcentral lists this ribosomal RNA (265 nucleotides) under uncultured Atopobium sp. RNAcentral describes it as "partial 16S ribosomal RNA". It matches the Rfam family "Bacterial small subunit ribosomal RNA", at positions 91 to 354 of the family's 1533-position model. The record is from RNAcentral. Lineage: Bacteria; Bacillati; Actinomycetota; Coriobacteriia; Coriobacteriales; Atopobiaceae.
UAAAGUGGCGAACGGCUGAGUAACACGUGGGCAACCUGCCCUUUGCACUGGGAUAGCCUCGGGAAACCGAGGUUAAUACCGGAUACUCCAUAUUUGUCGCAUGGCGAAUAUGGGAAAGCUCCGGCGGCAAAGGAUGGGCCCGCGGCCUGUUAGCUAGAUGGUGGGGUAGUGGCCUACCAAGGCAAUGAUGGGUAGCCGGGUUGAGAGACCGACCGGCCAGAUUGGGACUGAGACACGGCCCAGACUCCUACGGGAGGCAGCAGAU